AGUACCGUGAGGGAAAGGUGAAAAGCACCCCGGAAGGGGAGUGAAAUAGAUCCUGAAACCGUGUGCCUACAACAAGUCAAAGCUCGUUAAUGAGUGAUGGCGUGCCUUUUGUAGAAUGAACCGGCGAGUUACGAUUGCAUGCGAGGUUAAGUCGAAGAGACGGAGCCGCAGCGAAAGCGAGUCUGAAUAGGGCGAAUGAGUAUGUAGUCGUAGACCCGAAACCAUGUGAUCUACCCAUGUCCAGGUUGAAGGUGCGGUAAAACGCACUGGAGGACCGAACCCACGUACGUUGAAAAGUGCGGGGAUGAGGUGUGGGUAGCGGAGAAAUUCCAAACGAACUUGGAGAUAGCUGGUUCUCUCCGAAAUAGCUUUAGGGCUAGCCUCGGAAUUGAGAAUGAUGGAGGUAGAGCACUGUUUGGACUAGGGGCCCAUCUCGGGUUACCGAAUUCAGAUAAACUCCGAAUGCCAUUCAUUUAUAUCCGGGAGUCAGACUGCGAGUGAUAAGAUCCGUAGUCGAAAGGGAAACAGCCCAGACCACCAGCUAAGGUCCCAAAAUAUAUGUUAAGUGGAAAAGGAUGUGGGGUUGCACAGACAACUAGGAUGUUGGCUUAGAAGCAGCCACCAUUUAAAGAGUGCGUAAUAGCUCACUAGUCGAGUGACCCUGCGCCGAAAAUGUACCGGGGCUAAACAUAUUACCGAAGCUGUGGACUACACCAUUAGGUGUAGUGGUAGGAGAGC
This 738-nucleotide ribosomal RNA is filed under the name Enterococcus faecalis. RNAcentral's name for it is "partial 23S ribosomal RNA". It matches the Rfam family "Bacterial large subunit ribosomal RNA", at positions 497 to 1237 of the family's 2925-position model. The record is from RNAcentral. Lineage: Bacteria; Bacillati; Bacillota; Bacilli; Lactobacillales; Enterococcaceae.